UAGGGAAUCUUCCGCAAUGGACGAAAGUCUGACGGAGCAACGCCGCGGGAGUGAAGAAGGAUUUCGGUUCGGAAAACUCUGUUGUUAGGGAAGAAAAAAUGUAUAGUAACUAUAUACAAAAGAGACGGUACCUAACCAGAAAGCCACGGCUAACUACGUGCCAGCAGCCGCGGUAAUACGUAGGUGGCAAGCGUUGUCCGGAAUUAUUGGGCGUAAAGCGCGCGCAGGUGGUUUAGAAAGUCUGAUGUGAAAGCCCACGGCUCAACCGUGGAGGGUCAUUGGAAACUAAUAAACUUGAGUGCAGGAGAGAAAAGUGGAAUUCCUAGUGUAGCGGUGAAAUGCGUAGAGAUUAGGAGGAACACCGGUGGCGAAAGCGGCUUUUUGGCAUGCAACUGACACUGAGGCGCGAAAGCGUGGGGAGCAAACAGG
This 429-nucleotide ribosomal RNA is filed under the name Verrucomicrobiota bacterium. RNAcentral describes it as "Verrucomicrobia bacterium partial 16S ribosomal RNA". It matches the Rfam family "Bacterial small subunit ribosomal RNA", at positions 355 to 776 of the family's 1533-position model. The record is from RNAcentral. Lineage: Bacteria; Pseudomonadati; Verrucomicrobiota.